GUCGAGCGGACAGAUGGGAGCUUGCUCCCUGAUGUUAGCGGCGGACGGGUGAGUAACACGUGGGUAACCUGCCUGUAAGACUGGGAUAACUCCGGGAAACCGGGGCUAAUACCGGAUGGUUGUUUGAACCGCAUGGUUCAGACAUAAAAGGUGGCUUCGGCUACCACUUACAGAUGGACCCGCGGCGCAUUAGCUAGUUGGUGAGGUAACGGCUCACCAAGGCAACGAUGCGUAGCCGACCUGAGAGGGUGAUCGGCCACACUGGGACUGAGACACGGCCCAGACUCCUACGGGAGGCAGCAGUAGGGAAUCUUCCGCAAUGGACGAAAGUCUGACGGAGCAACGCCGCGUGAGUGAUGAAGGUUUUCGGAUCGUAAAGCUCUGUUGUUAGGGAAGAACAAGUGCCGUUCAAAUAGGGCGGCACCUUGACGGUACCUAACCAGAAAGCCACGGCUAACUACGUGCCAGCAGCCGCGGUAAUACGUAGGUGGCAAGCGUUGUCCGGAAUUAUUGGGCGUAAAGGGCUCGCAGGCGGUUUCUUAAGUCUGAUGUGAAAGCCCCCGGCUCAACCGGGGAGGGUCAUUGGAAACUGGGGAACUUGAGUGCAGAAGAGGAGAGUGGAAUUCCACGUGUAGCGGUGAAAUGCGUAGAGAUGUGGAGGAACACCAGUGGCGAAGGCGACUCUCUGGUCUGUAACUGACGCUGAGGAGCGAAAGCGUGGGGAGCGAACAGGAUUAGAUACCCUGGUAGUCC
This 753-nucleotide ribosomal RNA is filed under the name Bacillus sp. 17855. Its description in RNAcentral is "bacterial SSU rRNA". It matches the Rfam family "Bacterial small subunit ribosomal RNA", at positions 61 to 796 of the family's 1533-position model. The record is from RNAcentral. Lineage: Bacteria; Bacillati; Bacillota; Bacilli; Caryophanales; Bacillaceae.